RNAcentral lists this RNase P RNA (379 nucleotides) under Actinomycetes bacterium. RNAcentral's name for it is "RNase P RNA component class A". It matches the Rfam family "Bacterial RNase P class A". From Rfam's summary of the family: Ribonuclease P (RNase P) is a ubiquitous endoribonuclease, found in archaea, bacteria and eukarya as well as chloroplasts and mitochondria. Its best characterised activity is the generation of mature 5'-ends of tRNAs by cleaving the 5'-leader elements of precursor-tRNAs. Cellular RNase Ps are ribonucleoproteins. The record is from RNAcentral. Lineage: Bacteria; Bacillati; Actinomycetota; Actinomycetes.
CGAGUCGGUCGGGCGGCCGCGGCACUUUUGUGUCGAGGAAAGUCCGGACUCCACAGGACAGAGCGGUGGGUAACGCCCACCCGGGGAGACCCGCGGGCAAGUGCAACAGAAAGCAAACCGCCUCCGGCAACGGAGGUCAGGGUGAAACGGUGGUGUAAGAGACCACCAGCAGGUGUGGUGACACAUCUGGCUAGGUAAACCCCGCUCGGAGCAAGAUCAAGAAGAGCCACGGUUUCGACCGGGUUCGUGUGGACGGGUGGUCCGCCCGGUGUCCACAGGUAGGUCGCACCAGGUUGCUGGCAACAGCAGUCGCAGAUGGAUGGCCGCCGCCACCCAGGUAUGGGUGAGGCACAGAAUCCGGCUUACAGACCGACUCGCC